This 1344-nucleotide ribosomal RNA is filed under the name uncultured bacterium. Its description in RNAcentral is "16S ribosomal RNA". It matches the Rfam family "Bacterial small subunit ribosomal RNA", at positions 28 to 1378 of the family's 1533-position model. The record is from RNAcentral.
GACGAACGCUGGCGGCGUGCUUAACACAUGCAAGUCGAACGGAAAGGCCCUGCUUUUGUGGGGUGCUCGAGUGGCGAACGGGUGAGUAACACGUGAGUAACCUGCCCUUGACUUUGGGAUAACUUCAGGAAACUGGGGCUAAUACCGGAUAGGAGCUCCUGCUGCAUGGUGGGGGUUGGAAAGUUUCGGCGGUUGGGGAUGGACUCGCGGCUUAUCAGCUUGUUGGUGGGGUAGUGGCUUACCAAGGCUUUGACGGGUAGCCGGCCUGAGAGGGUGACCGGCCACAUUGGGACUGAGAUACGGCCCAGACUCCUACGGGAGGCAGCAGUGGGGAAUAUUGCACAAUGGGCGGAAGCCUGAUGCAGCAACGCCGCGUGCGGGAUGACGGCCUUCGGGUUGUAAACCGCUUUCGCCUGUGACGAAGCGUGAGUGACGGUAAUGGGUAAAGAAGCACCGGCUAACUACGUGCCAGCAGCCGCGGUGAUACGUAAGGUGCGAGCGUUGUCCGGAUUUAUUGGGCGUAAAGGGCUCGUAGGUGGUUGAUCGCGUCGGAAGUGUAAUCUUGGGGCUUAACCCCUGAGCGUGCUUUCAAUACGGGUUGACUUGAGGAAGGUAGGGGAGAAUGGAAUUCCUGGUGGAGCGGUGGAAUGCGCAGAUAUCAGGAGGAACACCAGUGGCGAAGGCGGUUCUCUGGGCCUUUCCUGACGCUGAGGAGCGAAAGCGUGGGGAGCGAACAGGCUUAGAUACCCUGGUAGUCCACGCUGUAAACGGUGGGUACUAGGUGUGGGGUCCAUUCCACGGGUUCCGUGCCGUAGCUAACGCUUUAAGUACCCCGCCUGGGGAGUACGGCCGCAAGGCUAAAACUCAAAGGAAUUGACGGGGCCCCGCACAAGCGGCGGAGCAUGCGGAUUAAUUCGAUGCAACGCGUAGAACCUUACCUGGGUUUGACAUGGAUCGGGAGUGCUCAGAGAUGGGUGUGCCUCUUUUGGGGUCGGUUCACAGGUGGUGCAUGGCUGUCGUCAGCUCGUGUCGUGAGAUGUUGGGUUAAGUCCCGCAACGAGCGCAACCCUUGUUCACUGUUGCCAGCACGUUAUGGUGGGGACUCAGUGGAGACCGCCGGGGUCAACUCGGAGGAAGGUGGGGAUGACGUCAAGUCAUCAUGCCCCUUAUGUCCAGGGCUUCACGCAUGUUACAAUGGCUGGUACAGAGAGUGGCGAGCCUGUGAGGGUGAGCGAAUCUCGGAAAGCCGGUCUCAGUUCGGAUUGGGGUCUGCAACUCGACCUCAUGAAGUCGGAGUCGCUAGUAAUCGCAGAUCAGCAACGCUGGGGUGAAUACGUUCCCGGG